Molecule: ribosomal RNA, 497 nt
Filed under: uncultured bacterium
Lineage: Bacteria
Description: partial 16S ribosomal RNA
Rfam family: Bacterial small subunit ribosomal RNA
Source: RNAcentral
GAUGAACGCUGGCGGCGUGCCUAAUACAUGCAAGUCGAGCGAACAGACGAGGAGCUUGCUCCUCUGACGUUAGCGGCGGACGGGUGAGUAACACGUGGAUAACCUACCUAUAAGACUGGGAUAACUUCGGGAAACCGGAGCUAAUACCGGAUAAUAUAUUGAACCGCAUGGUUCAAUAGUGAAAGACGGUUUUGCUGUCACUUAUAGAUGGAUCCGCGCCGCAUUAGCUAGUUGGUAAGGUAACGGCUUACCAAGGCAACGAUGCGUAGCCGACCUGAGAGGGUGAUCGGCCACAAUGGAACUGAGACACGGGCCAGACUCCUACGGGAGGCAGCAGUAGGGAAUCUUCCGAAAUGGGCGAAAGCCUGACGGAGCAACGCCGCGUGAGUGAUGAAGGUCUUCGGAUCGUAAAACUCUGUUAUUAGGGAAGAACAAAUGUGUAAGUAACUAUGCACGUCUUGACGGUACCUAAUCAGAAAGCCACGGCUAACUACGUG